CCAUAGGCAUUUCUAAAAGCCACAUCAGAAAAGGAGAAAAAAAAAAU
Molecule: non-coding RNA, 47 nt
Organism: Gorilla gorilla gorilla (western lowland gorilla)
Lineage: Eukaryota; Metazoa; Chordata; Mammalia; Primates; Hominidae
Source: Rfam